This 253-nucleotide ribosomal RNA is filed under the name uncultured bacterium. RNAcentral describes it as "partial 16S ribosomal RNA". It matches the Rfam family "Bacterial small subunit ribosomal RNA", at positions 524 to 776 of the family's 1533-position model. The record is from RNAcentral.
UACAGAGGUCCCAAGCGUUGUUCGGAUUCACUGGGCGUAAAGGGUGCGCAGGUGGUGAGGUAAGUCUGAUGUGAAAGCUCCGAGCUUAACUCGGAAAUGGCAUUGGAUACUAUCUCGCUAGAGGUUUGGAGGGGGGACUGGAAUUGCCGGUGUAGCAGUGAAAUGCGUAGAUAUCGGUAGGAACACCAGUGGCGAAAGCGAGUCCCUGAACAACACCUGACACUGAGGCACGAAAGCUAGGGGAGCAAACAGG